UCUCAGCCCCCCCCCCCCCCCCCCCCCAGCCAGCCUUGCCACACGACUCUCCCCCGGGACCGGCUGUCGGGAAUCUCUGAGCGGUGUAAAGGACCCUCGUGCUGCAAACCUGGGGGUCACCCCCCACCUCCGCCCCCGCCCGCUGACAGCUUGGGUCUUGUGCUUCCCGCCGACAGAGACCUACCGGACACGGAGAGCAGCGAGGAGGAGCUGGGGCCGAGCCCUGGAAGGGAGAGCUGUGUUGGUGUUCUCUGAGAACCCAUAGGGCGUGGCAGUGAGGCACAGCUGUGAGCAGGUACCUGCAGAGUAGGGUGGAUGGUGUGAAGAAAGGGGCUGGCUCAGAACUAGGCCUUCAGCUUGGAGGCCUCAAGGUGUCACACGAUAGAGGCGGAGGGAGAUUUGGCCCAGGAGAAGGCAACGUGACUGGGAAGCAAGAUGCUAGACUGCUGGCGUGGAAGUUGGAGGAAGACGCCAUGAGCCUACGAGUGCCAGGAACAGAGCACUGGAGGCUGGAAAUGUGAGGUGAGGACACACCCUCUAGAGCCUCCACAGGGAGUGUGGCUGAACCAACACGGGGAACUCAGCCCAGUGACACUGAUUUUGGACUUCUGAACUCUGGAGCUGUGGGAGAAUAAACGUGUGUUGUUUUAAGCCACCAACUUUUUAGUAUCUUGUUAGAGCAGUCAUAGAAAAUGAACACAGUAUCUCUCUGAGCAUUUCUGUGAAACUCUCUGCAAGAACAGGUGUUCUGGAAUAUUCACUGCCUUCCACCCAUUGUUUUUAAUUAAAAAAAAUUUUUGAUGUUUA
Long non-coding RNA from Leopardus geoffroyi (Geoffroy's cat), 807 nucleotides. RefSeq lists it as uncharacterized. Lineage: Eukaryota; Metazoa; Chordata; Mammalia; Carnivora; Felidae. The transcript is spliced from 3 exons. The record is from RefSeq and is a predicted model, not a curated record.